UACGGAGGGUGCGAGCGUUGUUCGGAAUCACUGGGCGUAAAGCGCGCGCAGGCGGGUCUAGGAAGUCGGGGGUGAAAUCUCGGGGCUCAACUCCGAGGCUGCUUCCGAAACUGCGGACCUGGAGACCGGUAGAGGUGGGUGGAAUUCCUAGUGUAGAGGUGAAAUUCGUAGAUAUUAGGAAGAACACCAGUGGCGAAGGCGGCUCACUGGUCCGGUACUGACGCUGAGGCGCGAAAGCGUGGGGAGCGAACAGG
Molecule: ribosomal RNA, 254 nt
Filed under: uncultured bacterium
Lineage: Bacteria
Description: partial 16S ribosomal RNA
Rfam family: Bacterial small subunit ribosomal RNA
Source: RNAcentral